Molecule: ribosomal RNA, 396 nt
Filed under: uncultured bacterium
Lineage: Bacteria
Description: partial 16S ribosomal RNA
Rfam family: Bacterial small subunit ribosomal RNA
Source: RNAcentral
AUACGUAGGGGGCGAGCGUUGUCCGGAAUGAUUGGGCGUAAAGGGCGCGUAGGCGGCGCGGUAAGUCUGGAGUGAAAGUCCUGCUUUCAAGGUGGGAAUUGCUUUGGAUACUGCCGCGCUUGAGUGCAGGAGAGGUUAUCGGAAUUCCCGGUGUAGCGGUGAAAUGCGUAGAGAUCGGGAGGAACACCAGUGGCGAAGGCGGGUAACUGGACUGCAACUGACGCUGAGGCGCGAAAGUGUGGGGAGCAAACAGGAUUAGAUACCCUGGUAGUCCACGCGGUAAACGAUGAAUGCUAGGUGUUGCGGGUAUCGACCCCUGCAGUGCCGGAGUCAACACAAUAAGCAUUCCGCCUGGGGAGUACGGCCGCAAGGUUGAAACUCAAAGGAAUUGACGGG